AGAGCGAACGCUGGCGGCAGGCCUAACACAUGCAAGUCGAGCGCUCCGCAAGGGGAGCGGCAGACGGGAGAGUAACACGUGGGAACGUACCCUUCAGUUCGGAACAACCCAGGGAAACUUGGGCUAAUACCGAAUACGUCCGUAAGGAGAAAGAUUUAUCGCUGAAGGAUCGGCCCGCGUCUGAUUAGCUUGUUGGUGAGGUAACGGCUCACCAAGGCGACGAUCAGUAGCUGGUCUGAGAGGAUGAUCAGCCUCACUGGGACUGAGACACGGCCCAGACUCCUACGGGAGGCAGCAGUGGGGAAUAUUGGACAAUGGGCGCAAGCCUGAUCCAGCCAUGCCGCGUGGGUGAUGAAGGCCCUAGGGUUGUAAAGCCCUUUCGGCGGGAAGAUAAUGACGGUACCCGCAGAAGAAGCCCGGCUAACUUCGCGCCAGCAGCCGC
This 442-nucleotide ribosomal RNA is filed under the name uncultured bacterium. Its description in RNAcentral is "SSU rRNA". It matches the Rfam family "Bacterial small subunit ribosomal RNA", at positions 26 to 518 of the family's 1533-position model. The record is from RNAcentral.